This 250-nucleotide ribosomal RNA is filed under the name uncultured prokaryote. RNAcentral describes it as "partial 16S ribosomal RNA". It matches the Rfam family "Bacterial small subunit ribosomal RNA", at positions 524 to 773 of the family's 1533-position model. The record is from RNAcentral.
UACGUAGGGGGCAAGCGUUAUCCGGAUUUACUGGGUGUAAAGGGAGCGCAGACGGCGCUGUAAGUCAGAAGUGAAAACCCCGGGCUUAACCUGGGGACUGCUUUUGAAACUAUAGUGCUCGAGUACUGGAGGGGCAGGCGGAAUUCCUGGUGUAGCGGUGAAAUGCGUAGAUAUCAGGAGGAACACCGGUGGCGAAGGCGGCCUGCUGGACAGAGACUGACGUUGAGGCUCGAAAGCGUGGGGAGCAAAC